RNAcentral lists this ribosomal RNA (267 nucleotides) under uncultured Planctomycetota bacterium. Its description in RNAcentral is "uncultured planctomycete partial 16S ribosomal RNA". It matches the Rfam family "Bacterial small subunit ribosomal RNA", at positions 565 to 830 of the family's 1533-position model. Lineage: Bacteria; Pseudomonadati; Planctomycetota. The record is from RNAcentral.
GAGCACGUAGGUGGGUUUGUAAGUCAGAUGUGAAAGCCUUCUGUUCAACGGGAGAAUUGCAUCUGAAACUACAGACCUUGAGUAUAGGAGGGGAGAGUGGAACUUCUGGUGGAGCGGUGAAAUGCGUAGAUAUCAGAAGGAACGCCGGCGGCGAAAGCGAUUCUCUGGCCUAUUACUGACACUCAGUGUGCGAAAGCUAGGGGAGCAAACGGGAUUAGAUACCCCGGUAGUCCUAGCCGUAAACGAUGGGCACUAAGUAGAGGGGUU